GAUGAACGCUGGCGGCGUGCCUAAUACAUGCAAGUCGAGCGAACGGACGAGAAGCUUGCUUCUCUGAUGUUAGCGGCGGACGGGUGAGUAACACGUGGAUAACCUACCUAUAAGACUGGGAUAACUUCGGGAAACCGGAGCUAAUACCGGAUAAUAUUUUGAACCGCAUGGUUCAAAAGUGAAAGACGGUCUUGCUGUCACUUAUAGAUGGAUCCGCGCUGCAUUAGCUAGUUGGUAAGGUAACGGCUUACCAAGGCAACGAUGCAUAGCCGACCUGAGAGGGUGAUCGGCGACACUGGGACUGAGACACGGUCCAGAGGCCUACGGGAGGCAGCAGUAGGGAAUCUUCCGCAAUGGGCGAAAGCCUGACGGAGCAACGCCGCGUGAGUGAUGAAGGUCUUCGGAUCGUAAAACUCUGUUAUUAGGGAAGAACAUAUGUGUAAGUAACUGUGCACAUCUUGACGGUACCUAAUCAGAAAGCCACGGCUAACUACGUG
Molecule: ribosomal RNA, 497 nt
Filed under: uncultured bacterium
Lineage: Bacteria
Description: partial 16S ribosomal RNA
Rfam family: Bacterial small subunit ribosomal RNA
Source: RNAcentral